CCAUUACCGUGCCAGGCCGUAGAAUGGGGUCCUGGUCUUUCCUAACUCUGUGCCAGGCCGUAGAAUGGGUCCUGGUCUUCCUGUCAUGGACUAAUUGGGUCAUCCAACAUUCACCCACAUCAACAACAAUCGAUGCAAUGCGGCAUAUUCGUGAACACUAAUGCAAUCAUCCUAUUGCAUAAUCAUGAUGCAUGAAACAUGAUAAAACAUUUAAU
This 215-nucleotide long non-coding RNA is filed under the name Manihot esculenta (cassava). RNAcentral's name for it is "long non-coding RNA (MESC_LNC007358)". Lineage: Eukaryota; Viridiplantae; Streptophyta; Magnoliopsida; Malpighiales; Euphorbiaceae. The record is from RNAcentral.